GCCGGUGUAGCUCAGCUGGCAGAGCAGCUGUUUUGUAAACAGCAGGUCGUCGGUUCGAUCCCGUCCACCGGCUCCA
Molecule: transfer RNA, 76 nt
Filed under: Kouleothrix sp.
Lineage: Bacteria; Bacillati; Chloroflexota; Chloroflexia; Chloroflexales; Roseiflexaceae
Also listed under: 1 other name
Description: tRNA-Thr
Rfam family: tRNA
About the family: Transfer RNA (tRNA) molecules are approximately 80 nucleotides in length. Their secondary structure includes four short double-helical elements and three loops (D, anti-codon, and T loops).
Source: RNAcentral